AGUGAACGCUGGCGGUAGGCCUAACACAUGCAAGUCGAACGGCAGCACAGGAGAGCUUGCUCUCUGGGUGGCGAGUGGCGGACGGGUGAGGAAUACGUCGGAAUCUACUCUGUCGUGGGGGAUAACGUAGGGAAACUUACGCUAAUACCGCAUACGACCUACGGGUGAAAGCAGGGGAUCUUCGGACCUUGCGCGAUCGAAUGAGCCGAUGUCGGAUUAGCUAGUUGGCGGGGUAAAGGCCCACCAAGGCGACGAUCCGUAGCUGGUCUGAGAGGAUGAUCAGCCACACUGGAACUGAGACACGGUCCAGACUCCUACGGGAGGCAGCAGUGGGGAAUAUUGGACAAUGGGCGCAAGCCUGAUCCAGCCAUACCGCGUGGGUGAAGAAGGCCUUCGGGUUGUAAAGCCCUUUUGUUGGGAAAGAAAUCCAGCUGGCUAAUACCCGGUUGGGAUGACGGUACCCAAAGAAUAAGCACCGGCUAACUUCGUGCCAGCCGCCGCCGUAA
This 506-nucleotide ribosomal RNA is filed under the name uncultured bacterium. Its description in RNAcentral is "partial 16S ribosomal RNA". It matches the Rfam family "Bacterial small subunit ribosomal RNA", at positions 29 to 523 of the family's 1533-position model. The record is from RNAcentral.